UUUUUUUUUUUUUUUUUUUUUUUUUUUUUGAUGU
RNAcentral lists this non-coding RNA (34 nucleotides) under Prorocentrum micans. The record is from RNAcentral. Lineage: Eukaryota; Dinophyceae; Prorocentrales; Prorocentraceae.